CUUUUUAAUUAAGCAGUUGGAAUGAGAGUCAUCAAUUUUGAUUCCUAUUUCAGAUCUCAAUUUUCGUCCUCCCCACCCCAAGCAGACACCCUCUUAAUAUAAUACCAUGCAAUUGUAGCCAAACUACAGGAAUUAGACAACUCAUGGACUUAAACAAGAGUAACAUAAUUCGGGACAAUGAUGUGGCAACAGCCUAGUGCUUCACCC
RNAcentral lists this long non-coding RNA (207 nucleotides) under Elaeis guineensis (African oil palm). RNAcentral's name for it is "long non-coding RNA (EGUI_LNC041126)". The record is from RNAcentral. Lineage: Eukaryota; Viridiplantae; Streptophyta; Magnoliopsida; Arecales; Arecaceae.